CAUUUUCUCGCGAAUAUUUUUUCUCUUGUGAAUGUUUACAGAAAGACCGUACGGGGUUGGUUUAUGGAAAUUUUGAAGGUGAAGAAACCCUAUCUUGCGAGAUACCCAUCUUGCCGAUCCACCACCAUUCUCUUCUUCUAGUUCUAAUGGCGCUGGAAUCAGGGGCAACAGACCCCCUCGAAAACCCAAGUCCUCCUAAGAAAAUGCUCCAACGUCAUAUCCCAACUCCCUUCAUGGUUCCCGAUUUUGAACCCUCGUCGGCUAAGUUGAAGAGCCCGCUUCCACCUAAGCCUCCCUCUUCUAACCCGCUUAAGAGGAAGCUCAAUAUGGAGACCUUUCUUGAGAAUUCCAUCCUUGGGUUGUCAUAUUCUGGUGCGAAGGUAUGACUAGUUGACAAAUAAGAGCCUUCAGAUUGGUUACUUCUUAUCAGCAAUGCUUGCUUAUGGAACAGUGUUGAUAGCACACACACAUAUAUAUUCUGUAAUGAUAUAUAUUAGGAAUGUGAUCAAGGAAGCCAGCUUGUCUAGAGAAAGCAAGAGUUGGUGUUGAAGCAACACCCAUUCAUGAUGGCAUGAGUACACCUAUGCACCCAUGAGUCCGUCAAGAUAUUGUUUGUAGAGUGAUUGAAGUCAUAUCAAGUUGGAAGCUAAGAGAUUGGGUGAAAGCUAAGCAAUCGUUGAAGGUUGAAGGUUGAAGACUGUGAAGUUCAAAGUUCAGUUAACAGCUCCUACAAUGCGAUCAAAUCCACCUACUCAAACCCACCUUCUGUUUCUAAAGCAGAAGAGAAUUUGUGUUAGACUCACCUUCUAUUCCUAAAGUAGAAGAGCUUUCAAUGACUUAACCAAGUGAGCGAUUAAGUUUUUUAUCAUCCAUAUUGUUUCCUAUCCGUACUUCUAUCUAGAGAAAGAAAGCUACAUAGAAAAAGUAGACUACCAAAUGGGAAAAAAAAGAUUAGUAAGCAGUGUUAGUUUUUGAAAAUAGUAAACAAAAAUUAACAUGAUUAUCAAACCAAGCCAUUCGAGAACAUGAAAUAGAAUUGGAUAGCUGUCGUGCAUUAUGUCUACAAAUGUUAUGAUAGUUACUAUGAUAUGGGGUUUAUGAAAGAGAAUUUCCUAUGUAUUUUAACAACAGAUGAUUCUUCAUCAUCAAGCAAAGUUUAUAGCUUUAAAGAGUACCUAAAGGUUACAAAAUAUCAGCCGAUAGCUCAUGAUAAGCUCCAAACGAAUUUUCCAGCACAAAGCCAGAGUGUAUCCCCAGUGCAACGUGAAGGAACAAAGAUGAAUAAGCAAUGAAAAAGGAAUGAAGAGGUUUAUCCAUGCAAGCUUCAAACCAAAGUCAAGGAUGUCAAUCCUUCGAGGGGAGUCCACUGUUCCCCCUUAUUUUUCUCCCUUUACUUUGAUUUUCAAAAGCUUUGAGGACAAAGCAAGUUUUUAAGUGGGAGUGGGUAAUAGCUUGCUUAGCUUGAAUGUUUAGUCUAAACUUGGGGGAUUUCAAAUUUUGCCCAAAUUAAGAAAAAAUUCAAAAAAAAUUUCCUUACAAUAAUGAGCAAUAUAGCUUCUUAGCUUACUUAGAUCUUGCAUAAAAAA
Molecule: long non-coding RNA, 1586 nt
Organism: Cucumis sativus (cucumber)
Lineage: Eukaryota; Viridiplantae; Streptophyta; Magnoliopsida; Cucurbitales; Cucurbitaceae
Exons: 6
Source: RefSeq, a predicted model, not a curated record